RNAcentral lists this long non-coding RNA (825 nucleotides) under Ananas comosus (pineapple). RNAcentral describes it as "long non-coding RNA (ACOM_LNC000039)". The record is from RNAcentral. Lineage: Eukaryota; Viridiplantae; Streptophyta; Magnoliopsida; Poales; Bromeliaceae.
UUUAAAAUUUAAUUUCUAAGUUUAAACUCAUAUUAUAAUUAAAAAGUUGAAAAAAAAUAAAUUUAAUCCAAAUAAAUAUCCAUUCCGUCCGGAUUCAACUUCCAAUCCGGCCUCCUAGGCCGGAUUGAAAAAAAGAGGUGAUUGGGGGAUUCCCAUUCUACUCGGGAAUUGGAAUGAGACUCUCGCGUACCAAACACCUACAAACGGAUUCACUCAUUCUGAUUCCGAUUCCAGGAUGAAAAAGAAGCGAACCAAAGACGCCUUAUAUAUAAAAUCAUGUAUUUCAAAUUUCGGUAUGUCGAUGGACCCAUUUUAUGGCGGGAAAAAAAAUUGAUUCCUCUUUCCUUACGUAAAAUAAAUAAUAGAAUUAAAAAAACUUUUAUUUCCUCUUUAUUUCUACAACAGAAAAAAAUUUAUACUUAUCCAAAUUUUUACCAAUAUGAGAAUAUCUACUUUAAAUUUUUAUUUAAUUUGUUUUUAUCUCUAACUGUAAUAUAAUAUCUAUACUAUCUAGCACGUAUUUCAAAUUUCGAUAUGUCGGCAGAUCCAUUUUUAAGCGGAAAAAGAAUUUGAUUACUCUUUCCUUACGUAAAAUAAAUAGCACAAUAAAACAAACUUUUAAUUUAUCUUUACCUCUAAAAUAAAAAAUAUAUAUACUUAUUCAAAUUUUGCCAAGCGAAAGAUAUCUAUUGUGAAUCUAUAUUUUAAUUCAAAAUUUGUUUAAUUUCUUUUUAUCUCUAAAAUAGAAAUAAAUUCAUACUUAUCCAAAUUUUUGCCAGAAUAUCAAUAUGCUCUAUCCAUCUAUUUUACAUUAAAAUUUAAAUU